UGGCGACCGGCGCACGGGUGAGUAACGCGUAUGCAACCUGCCCGAUACCGGGGUAUAGCCCAUGGAAACGUGGAUUAACACCCCAUAGUACUUUUAUCCUGCAUGGGAUGUGAGUUAAAUGUUCAAGGUAUCGGAUGGGCAUGCGUCCUAUUAGUUAGUUGGCGGGGUAACAGCCCACCAAGACGAUGAUAGGUAGGGUUCUGAGAGGAAGGUCCCCCACAUUGGAACUGAGACACGGUCCAA
This 243-nucleotide ribosomal RNA is filed under the name uncultured bacterium. RNAcentral describes it as "partial 16S ribosomal RNA". It matches the Rfam family "Bacterial small subunit ribosomal RNA", at positions 89 to 334 of the family's 1533-position model. The record is from RNAcentral.